GAUGAACGCAGGCGGCGUGCCUAAUACAUGCAAGUCGAGCGAACGGACGAGAAGCUUGCUUCUCUGAUGUUAGCGGCGGACGGGUGAGUAACACGUGGAUAACCUACCUAUAAGACUGGGAUAACUUCGGGAAACCGGAGCUAAUACCGGAUAAUAUUUUGAACCGCAUGGUUCAAAAGUGAAAGACGGUCUUGCUGUCACUUAUAGAUGGAUCCGCGCUGCAUUAGCUAGUUGGUAAGGUAACGGCUUACCAAGGCAACGAUGCAUAGCCGACCUGAGAGGGUGAUCGGCCACACUGGAACUGAGACACGGUCCAGACUCCUACGGGAGGCAGCAGUAGGGAAUCUUCCGCAAUGGGCGAAAGCCUGACGGAGCAACGCCGCGUGAGUGAUGAAGGUCUUCGGAUCGUAAAACUCUGUUAUUAGUGAAGAACAUAUGUGUAAGUAACUGUGCACAUCUUGACGGUACCUAAUCAGAAAGCCACGGCUAACUACGUG
This 497-nucleotide ribosomal RNA is filed under the name uncultured bacterium. RNAcentral describes it as "partial 16S ribosomal RNA". It matches the Rfam family "Bacterial small subunit ribosomal RNA", at positions 28 to 507 of the family's 1533-position model. The record is from RNAcentral.